Long non-coding RNA from Dermochelys coriacea (leatherback sea turtle), 464 nucleotides. RefSeq lists it as uncharacterized. The record is from RefSeq and is a predicted model, not a curated record. The transcript is spliced from 2 exons. Lineage: Eukaryota; Metazoa; Chordata; Testudines; Dermochelyidae.
CUUAUUAGGAGAGGAAGUGGGACCUUUUGAGCUAGCUUCCUAAAAGAAGACUUGGCUGGGUCUAAGUUCUAGCCAAAGACUGCUAGAUACCAGAGCCUCCCUAGGGGAUGGGAACUAUAAGCAACCUAACUGGAGAGCUGAGUCAUGAGAAGGGGCAAACUACCACAGGCUCGGAGUGGCUAUUGACAGGAGGUGUCAGAAUUGAAGAGGCUGUUACACUAGGCCUGGCCAUGAUGGGUGCUCUGGCUGGUGAUGGACUCUCCUACACCUAAUUAAUAAGCUACGUUGGAAACUAUAUAAAACAAAAACAUAUUCCCAAGCCUGUUUGUACUUCUAGCACUUUUUUGUCUAUUCACUCCACUUCUGUCUGAUGUGAAUACAAAAUGAGGGCAUUACUGUUUUCUCAGCUGCAUGAAAUGUGCCAUGUUCAUUUGUUAUGGUUCAAUAAAUUGUAAAGGCAGUUA